Molecule: ribosomal RNA, 345 nt
Filed under: Escherichia coli
Lineage: Bacteria; Pseudomonadati; Pseudomonadota; Gammaproteobacteria; Enterobacterales; Enterobacteriaceae
Description: bacterial SSU rRNA
Rfam family: Bacterial small subunit ribosomal RNA
Source: RNAcentral
UGCAAGUCGAACGGUAACAGGAAGCAGCUUGCUGCUUCGCUGACGAGUGGCGGACGGGUGAGUAAUGUCUGGGAAACUGCCUGAUGGAGGGGGAUAACUACUGGAAACGGUAGCUAAUACCGCAUAAUGUCGCAAGACCAAAGAGGGGGACCUUCGGGCCUCUUGCCAUCGGAUGUGCCCAGAUGGGAUUAGCUUGUUGGUGGGGUAACGGCUCACCAAGGCGACGAUCCCUAGCUGGUCUGAGAGGAUGACCAGCCACACUGGAACUGAGACACGGUCCAGACUCCUACGGGAGGCAGCAGUGGGGAAUAUUGCACAAUGGGCGCAAGCCUGAUGCAGCCAUGC